Oncorhynchus keta (chum salmon) is the source of this 960-nucleotide long non-coding RNA. RefSeq lists it as uncharacterized. Lineage: Eukaryota; Metazoa; Chordata; Actinopteri; Salmoniformes; Salmonidae. The transcript is spliced from 3 exons. The record is from RefSeq and is a predicted model, not a curated record.
UAUGGCUGUUGGGCUGGCUGGAGGUGGAACUCUACAGGAGGAGGGGUAUGGCUGGUGGGCUGGCUGGAGGUGGAACUCUACAGGAGGAGGGGUAUAGCUGUUGGGCUGGCUGGAGGUGGAACUCUACAGGAGGAGGGGUACAGCUGGUGGGCUGGCUGGAGGUGGAACUCUAUAGCCAGGAGGAGGGGUACGGCUGUUGGGCUGGCUGGAGGUGGAACUCUACAGGAGGAGGGGUACGGCUGGUGGGCUGGCUGGAGGUGGAACUCUACAGGAGGAGGGGUACGGCUGGUGGGCUGGCUGGAGGUGGAACUCUAUAGCCAGGAGGAGGGGUACGGCUGGUGGGCUGGCUGGAGGUGGAACUCUAUAGCCAGGAGGAGGGGUACGGCUGGUGGGCUGGCUGGAGGUGGAACUCUAUAGCCAGGAGGAGGGGUACGGCUGGUGGGCUGGCUGGAGGUGGAACUCUACAGGAGGAGGGGUACGGCUGGUGGGCUGGCUGGAGGUGGAACUCUAUAGCCAGGAGGAGGGGUACGGCUGGUGGGCUGGCUGGAGGUGGAACUCUAUAGCCAGGAGGAGGGGUACGGCUGGUGGGCUGGCUGGAGGUGGAACUCUAUAGCCAGGAGGAGGGGUACGGCUGUUUAUUUAAAUAUCUCUCUGUCUCUGAAUAUCAUUCAGAGUAUUUAUUUAAACAUGUAUUUAUCACUUCUGCCCGCAGACCAGAUAGAUAAUGUGCUGCUCUCAGUUUCAAUGGGAGGUGUCAACAGAGAUUUCACUCACUCACACACCUGCACAUACUCACCACAUCCAACAAACUGGGCAAGGCCUUCGUUCUACAACCUCCUUUGAACACAGCACAGGACAGGAAGAGGAGUGUCAGGGUGUUGUUGUCAGUUAGUGUGACCGUGUUCCUGUCUGUGAGGGGUGAGGUGACUCUGCUACUGUUCACAACCGUUGGAGAGAUAU